AACAAAAACAAACAAAAAAAUAAUAUCUCUCUCUCUCUCUCUCUCUCUCUCUCUCUCUCUCUCUCUCUCUCUCUCUCUCUCUCUCUCUCUCUCUCUCUCUCUAACUAGCAAACUACUUCCCCCCGUACCCUCUGCUUUCCUUGCCUACCCCACUUCCCUCUCACUCUCUCUCUCAUAGUCAGUCUCUCUCUCUGUUCAGCGCCGGCUUCUCCACGAGCCACAUCGCCAGUCUGUCGAAACGCACACACGCACACACGCAAAAUGGAAGUACUUAUUUAAGUGAUUAAGUGUGGAAAA
Molecule: long non-coding RNA, 297 nt
Organism: Scylla paramamosain (green mud crab)
Lineage: Eukaryota; Metazoa; Arthropoda; Malacostraca; Decapoda; Portunidae
Exons: 2
Source: RefSeq, a predicted model, not a curated record